Lachnospiraceae bacterium is the source of this 2207-nucleotide ribosomal RNA. It matches the Rfam family "Bacterial large subunit ribosomal RNA", at positions 1 to 2236 of the family's 2925-position model. NCBI's taxonomy places the organism in Bacteria, Bacillati, Bacillota, Clostridia, Lachnospirales, Lachnospiraceae. The record is from Rfam.
GGUUAAACAAAAAAGAGCGUAGGGCGGAUGCCUUGGCACUAAGAGCCGAUGAAGGACGUGAUAAGCUGCGAUAAGCUGCGGGGAAGAGCAAAUAUCUAUUGAUCCGCAGAUUUCCGAAUGGGGAAACCUACUGCAGAAGAGCUGCAGUGACCGUGCGUGAAUCCAUAGCGUACAGCCGGGAACCCGCUGAACUGAAACAUCUAAGUAGGCGGAGGAAGAGAAAACAACAGUGAUUCCGUAAGUAGCGGCGAGCGAACGCGGAAGAGCCCAAACCGCAGUGCGUGCACUGCGGGGUUCGGACUGCACACGGGAAUUGAAUCGUUACCGGAAAGACUUUGGAACAGUCUGCCAGAGAGGGUGAAAGCCCCGUACGGGAAAACGAGUUAAGACCCAGCAGGAUCCAGAGUACCACGAGACACGUGAAACCUUGUGGGAAGGCGGGGGGACCACCCCCUAAGGCUAAAUACUACUUAGUGACCGAUAGUGCAUAGUACUGUGAAGGAAAGGUGAAAAGGACCCCGGGAGGGGAGUGAAAAAGAACCUGAAACCCUAUGUUUACAUGCAGUGGAAGUGCGAUACAUGAACGCACAACCGCGUACUUUUUGUAGAACGGUCCGGCGAGUUGCCGGUGCUGGCAAGGUUAAGGACUACAGGUCCGGAGCCGAAGGGAAACCGAGUCUUAAUAGGGCUUACAGUCAGCAUCGGCAGACCCGAAACCGGGUGAUCUAUCCAUGUCCAGGUUGAAGUCCCCGUAAAAGGGGAUGGAGGACCGAACACACAUCCGUUGAAAAGGGUGGUGAUGAGGUGUGGAUAGGGGAGAAAUUCCAAUCGAACCCGGAGAUAGCUGGUUCUCCUCGAAAUAGCUUUAGGGCUAGCCUCGACUUAGUCAGACGGAGGUAGAGCACUGAAUUCCUGAGGGGGCGUCAAAGCCUGCCAAGGGAUAUCAAACUGCGAAUGCCGUCCUGAUGAUGGUCGGGAGUCAGACUGCACGAGAUAAGUUGGGCAGUCAAAAGGGAAAGAGCCCAGACCUACAGCUAAGGUCCCAAAAUACGUGUUAAGUGGAAAAGGAUGUGGGAUUUCGAAGACAGCUAGGAUGUUGGCUUAGAAGCAGCCACACAUUCAAAGAGUGCGUAAUAGCUCACUAGUCGAGAGGUCCUGCGCCGAAAAUUUCCGGGGCUAAAACACGAUACCGAAGCUUAGGAAUGUAGUAAUACAUUGGUAGAGGAGCAAUCUCAGAGUGCCGAAGCGCUACCGCAAGGAAGCGUGGAGUUCUGAGAAGAGAGAAUGCCGGAAUGAGUAGCGAGAAUGAUGUGAGAAUCAUCAUGGCCGAAUAUCCAAGGAUUCCAGGGUAAAGCUGAUCUGCCCUGGGUAAGUCGGGACCUAAGGCGAGGGAGAGAUCCGUAGUCGAUGGACAGCAGGUUCAUAUUCCUGCACCUGACAUGAUCAGAACUGUGGGGACACAGGAACAAAACCGGACCCGGGAGAGCAAAGACCGGGCGAAGCGAAGUUAGGAGUGGGGCAGGCAAAUCCGCCGCACAAUCCGAAAGCGUGACAGGGAGCGAAAUAUAAGUAGCGAAGCCGGUGGAGGGACUGUCGAGAAAAGCCGCUAUUGUAUCAUGUCAGCCCGUACCGCAAACCGACACAGGUGGAUGAGGAGAGAAUCCUAAGGCCGGCGGGAGAAGCAUUGUUAAGGAACUCGGCAAAAUGACCCCGUAACUUCGGGAGAAGGGGUGCUGCAGAGAUGCAGCCGCAGAGAAAAGGCUCAAGCAACUGUUUAGCAAAAACACAGGUCUAUGCGAAACCGUAAGGUGAGGUAUAUGGGCUGACGCCUGCCCGGUGCUGGAAGGUUAAGAGGAGAGGUUAGCGAAAGCGAAGCUUUGAAUUUAAGCCCCAGUAAACGGCGGCCGUAACUAUAACGGUCCUAAGGUAGCGAAAUUCCUUGUCGGGUAAGUUCCGACCCGCACGAAAGGCGUAAUGAUUUGAGCGCUGUCUCAACAAUGCACCCGGUGAAAUUGAAGUACCAGUGAAGAUGCUGGUGACCUGCGCCAGGACGGAAAGACCCCAUGGAGCUUUACUCCAGCUUGAUACCGGGAUUCGGUGUUACUCGUACAGGAUAGGUGGGAGGCUAAGAAGGAAGGACGCCAGUCUUUCCGGAGCCGCUGUUGGGAUACCACCCCUGUGGCACUGGAUUUCUAACCUACAUCCGU